RNAcentral lists this ribosomal RNA (398 nucleotides) under uncultured Dothideomycetes. RNAcentral describes it as "partial small subunit ribosomal RNA". It matches the Rfam family "Eukaryotic small subunit ribosomal RNA", at positions 30 to 432 of the family's 1831-position model. The record is from RNAcentral. Lineage: Eukaryota; Fungi; Ascomycota; Dothideomycetes.
GCUUGUCUCAAAGAUUAAGCCAUGCAUGUCUAAGUAUAAAUGUUAUACAGUGAAACUGCGAAUGGCUCAUUAAAACAGUUAUAGUUUAUUUGAUAAUCGAAUUUACAUGGAUAACCGUGGUAAUUCUAGAGCUAAUACAUGCUGUUAAGCCUGACUUCUCGGAAGGGCUGUAUUUAUUAGAUAAAAAACCAAUGCCCUUCGGGGCUCCUUGGUGAAUCAUAAUAACUUAACGAAUCGCAUGGCCUUGCGCCGGCGAUGGUUCAUUCAAAUUUCUGCCCUAUCAACUUUCGAUGGUAGGAUAGUGGCCUACCAUGGUAUCAACGGGUAACGGGGAAUUAGGGUUCGACUCCGGAGAGGGAGCCUGAGAAACGGCUACCACAUCCAAGGAAGGCAGCAGG